This is an RNA transcript of Pseudoliparis swirei, 8981 nucleotides long. It is a transcript of the gene named sortilin, with no coding region annotated. The record is from RefSeq and is a predicted model, not a curated record. NCBI's taxonomy places the organism in Eukaryota, Metazoa, Chordata, Actinopteri, Perciformes, Liparidae. The transcript has 22 exons.
UGUGAUUCGUUGUCUCUGUCCCAGUGUGUGCCUUUAAGUGGCUCUGCUAACCUGCUCGUGAAGUAGUAGCUUAACAUGAAUUAUAAUGAAAUACCAUUGUUCCUGCUUGAGAGCCAGCACCUUUGAGUCGAGGAAGCGAAAAGGAAAAACAAAAGAAUGUAAUGUGUGGUUGCAGGUGAGUCAUCUGAACUGUUGGCUGCGUGUCAACUUCUGGCAGUGAGCAGACCCAGACUCUAAAAGCUGCUUACGCAACUGUGCACUAUUUUUUUGAACCGUGGGGAAAUCACAAUACGGUCCAUGCGUCUCUGAAAAAAGGAGCCGUGACGGACUAAAGCAACCAGCAACGCACGGAGCAAUUUCUGUACACGUGUGCAGGCUUGUGUGAGUAAAACAUUUUCUUGUCUCACAUCUUCCAGCAAUAUUGUCUUGGAAGGUGACCCUACCAUGUUUUAAACAACGGUCCACCAUGAAGUACUGAUUCGUCUCUUGUCAGAUGAUUGGUGUAGAUUUAAGAGCUGGCCCUUCAUAUGUGCUCAGUGACCAGUUGGAGUUUCCUUAGAAACAGUGCCAAAACCUCAGGGGAAGUGAAACCACCAUGGAACAGCAUAUUUUACUCGACUAAUUCUUCUGAAUGGGCACAUUUCCAACAUUUCUCGAGAAAAAGUCUGGAGUGUGAACAUAUUAAAAAGUAGCUAGAUUCAUUAAUUUUGUUGUUAAAAGACGACAGGUCAUCAAACAAGUUGUUCCGGUUAGGAUCCAUGUGUGUAGGAACAUGUCGUAGCGAGUCCAUCAAGAUAUGUCAGUCGUAAAAGUGCUAUUUAACUACCGUACAUUGUUUUGCACUCAUUGCCUGCUCACUCUUUUCUGGGCUUUGAGUCACUGAGAACACACGUCCAAUACAUUACUCAAAUGUUAACCUAACCUUUUAAAACAAAAAAGUCAACAUCUUUGGACCGGAUUUAAACAUGUUCUAUUUGGGUAAAAUAUGGCAUCUCUAUCAUGAGAUAGCAAGUUUCUAAAACCCUAAGAGAUCAACUGAAAGUCUGUCCACCCAGACUGAAAUAUCUCAAGGACUUCAGGAUUGAUCACCAUAAACAUUCAUUGUCACCAGAGGAUGAAUCAUAUACGACAUUGGUGAUCCCUGACCUUUCCAUUCCCCUCUAUCGUAUCUUAUAGAGAAAGCACUGGUAGACUCGGUUCUUUCCAAUGCCACACAGCUUAACUCCACCCACUCUGAACCAAUUAUUUCUCAGGCUUGUAAAGUCUUCAGACCCAACCGCCGCUCAAGUGACAUCUCGACAUUCAGCAGAUUUUGUGCAGCACCCUCUGGAGACAAAAAAGGCUUCAUAUUCCCAAAGUUUUGGAAACAGUCUUUGGUGGAGUUCCCCUGUUCCCUCCUGUUUGUCAUAAGGCAUGUUCAUUUGACCGAAAGCUAUAAUUACCAUAACCACAUGCAUCACUUGUACUUUGUGUUAAGUGCUAAUUAUAUAGGUAGUGGUUCCAUACAUAGAAAACACCAACAUGCCUUAUAGCAUUGUGAGCAUGCCAACUUUAGCCCGAUAAAUAUAAAGCUGUGUUUACAUUCGAUAAUGACAAAAUAUAAUAAAAAUAAUAAUAAUAAUAAUCCUAGUGUGUGUUUUUUUUAAUGUCAUCCCCAAUGUAUUUGACACCAAAUCAUUCCAUAAAAAUAAAAAUAAAGGCAGUGUAAAAAAUAACUGGCUUGGCAACACGCUUUUAGGAGUUGAACAUCUACAGGAAAUAUAAUCACAAACUAUAAACAACAAACCUAUUUAAAAAUAGCAAGCGCACAUAACAAUGAAAUGGAAACUUUUGAGCUGCCCUGCGGUCACCGGCUGUGAACAAUCAGGAUAUGAUUGCUGCUGCACCAAAGUGAUGUCACCUUUACGCAUUAUUAACCGCAGCCCGCUUGAUGUGCAGCUCAUACGGCGGCGGCGGAGGCGGACAGACGGCAGAAGAGGCGGUUCGGCUCCAGCGGGACGGAGAGUUUUCUCGGCGAAUUAGGAAACACCAAAAAGCCAAACUCCAUUUUUGAGCAACAGAUAUCAGCGGGUUACUUUGGAUGGAAACCUGACUCCGUCAGCCCGACAAGCAGCAACGAGCGAGAGAGAGAGAGAGACAGAACGAGACACGGAGAGUCCACCGAGCCUCCGCCAUUUGUAAUUAACCACAGGGAACCAUGGUGGCAGCAGUCCUCACGUUGUACUUUGUCGGAACGGCGUUGAGCUUCCUCGCAGUCCUUUAUGGAAUCGUGGACUCCUUUGGUGGUCUGAUGUACGCCCAGGACCAUCACUACCUUAUGGACCUGGACCAGCAGACACGGAGGCCCCUCUCCUCGGGCAGCCACCGGAGAGGAUCGCCUCCGACUAAAAACAUCUGCUCAUGAAGGGAAACGUCUUGCUCCCGAAUUUCAACGGGACCCUAGAUGGAUAUUCUGGCUACCGUGGCAACAGAUGGACAGACGGUACAUCACUGAUGUCUGACUUGCGUCUGCAUUACACAGAUUGUUGGUAUGCAUGCACUGUCCCCCAGAAUGCCUCUGGGAACGUCAUGUGCUAUCAAACUUCAGUUUGUGUUCAAGCAGCGAUAUACCUGAUGAGAACGGUUACAGCACUACUCAACAAUUUGCACUAAAAUGAGAAUGUUUAGUCUUUUUAAUGUCUUUUUCCGAAUAAAAGGAUUUUAUAAAUGUGGUGUUGCAUCGGGUAGAAAUUGAGGCUUUUUUAAAGAAACUGUUUACUGGAGAGUUAUAGUUACAAGCCAGGCUGGCUAAAAAAGUAUUGAAUGUAGUGAAAGAUACUGGAACUGUGAUUUAGGAACUCAGGGUUUGAGUAGGGUAGAGUCUUGCGUUGUUGCCCAACACAGUGGGCAUGAAAAUUGCCCAGCAGGUUGACUCUUUCCUCCCAAACAGGACUGUGUCAAAUGGAAAGCAACAUGAAGAAAUUGAGUUGAAGGAACGAGUCAAGUCAUGUUCAUAACGACUGAUUCAUCCAAUAUCUCAUGCAACGUCUCAUUGGCAGGGCCCCGAGAGAUACGGGUCCCAGCACGGCCCGGAUAGGCGGGAAGGGACAGUUUUAUGAGAGCUCUCGCUCCCUUUUCCAAGGGCUGGUUGCGCAACAGGUGCGCUGUGAUGAGGCGUGUCCCUUUGGUCUAUGAGUAGGUUGGAGAGAACGGAUGAACCAGCGUAAUGUGAACAUGAUCGCUCAAACGAAUGAAAGACGGGGAGUAAUCACCGAUGUUGCUCUUUUAGCUUGUUUGAAUUUGUUGGGUCGGUUAAUGUGUGGAUCAGGCUUAUUGCUUUACGAGUUUAGUGGUCAACGGGAUAAUUUGUAAAUUAGGAUAAUGUCAGUCUAAGGUAAUGUAAUCAUGACAUUGGUGGACAGACAUGGACUCAGUUAGCUGGUAAUUCUAGGUUGUUUUUUUGUACACAAAUUGGUGAAAGAAAGUUAAUCCCAAUCGGUACAUUCGUGACGUAGAGCCGUUACAUGUUCAAACACGGAGUCGGCAAGUUGAACUCUCUGAACCACGAGCGUCUCCGAGUCAUAAGGUUGCAGCAGUGGAAUUCCCCCGUGUGGUGACAGAAAGCGGCGCCAUCAACUCGGGUCGUGAUAUGCAACGCUUCAAUUCCGGGGUUAAGAGCUUUGUCGAAAGGCCACAGAAACAAACUGAGUGUACCGGGAGCACGACGGCCACCCACACACUGACCCGACUACUGAAGUAAGAGUCAGAACAGUAAUGAAUGACAGAUGUGAGAGGAGAUAAGAAAAGCCUCUGUUGAUCCCCAGAGGACAAAUUCAGUUGUUUCAGCAACACAAGGACAGACAUAAGCACAUACACACAGAAAGUUGAACACAAAUAAGAAAACAAUGAAUCAUUAACAAUGAGACUUAGAAUUAUAAAGCAAAAAGUACUCAUGACCAGAGGAGUACUUAUUAGAACUAAUAGUGUGAUAGUGUCUGUAAUAUGUGAUAUGAUACCACCAACUAACAGUGUACAGCAAAGUGGUGUGGGAAAUAAAGUAAACUAGAACGGGCACUCGGUAGAGCGCAUACCUUCGCAUAUCACAAGAUUGGGCAUUGAAUUAUGAACAUGUUGGCAUUAGUUGCAUGCCAAUUGAAUAAAAAGUGACCGCGUUAUGGUAAAAAGAAGAUGUUUACCUUUUCAUGACCUUGACCUUUGACCUGAUCGAUCCCAAAAUCGAAUCAAAUGGUCCCCGGAUAAUAACCAAUCAUCCCACCGAAUUUCAUGCGAUUCGGUUAAAUACCUUUUGACUUAUGCGAAUAACACGCAAACACACAUACAAAUAAAUAAAUACACGGCGAUCAAAACAUAACCUUCCGUAUUUUCAAUGCGAAGGUAACUAGAACAUCAAAUGCAUUCAUAUAGUAUAAAAUAAUAUACCGCUCAGCAUGGCAUUGAAUACAAACAAAUUAGAAAGUAUAGUGCGAUGUAUAAUGAAUAAAACGAGUACUCCUAGUUGCACCUGUGUUGCACCUGGGGUGGGAUAUGCACUGUGGCUGUUGUAGCGGAGUGAAGCGAUCACUCAUCUGAAUAGACGGAAAAUAACGAAACUGUACUACAAAUAUUUGGAUUGAAUGAUUGCAAUUUUCCCGUGUCUCACCACACGGCGAGAAGCACGACCCAAAUGAAAGCGAAUGAAUGCUCCAUAUCGGCUGUGUGUAUAAUUAUAAACUUGUUUUCCAAAAUUAAAGCAUAAAAAAUGUCUGAUUGGCGUUUCAUGGCAGCCCCUCUUGGUUUACCCACCUGUCUCCAGGCCUGCGGGGCAGUAUUAGUCAGCACACCUGGGGCUGGUGUGCUGUGCUCAAAGGCCGGAGAAGCAGACCCUCCAUUACACUCCUCUCUCACACACACACACACACACACACACACACACACGCCGCCAGAGAUCAUUCAACAUUAGGUUUUUAUGUUUUAAAAUAAUGUACCAAAGUAGCAGUUUUAUAUUGGCUGAUUUGACCUCUCCUCCUUUAAUGAGUGGUUCCCCUGAACAGCAUGAAGCCAUAACCAACAUUGCUCGUCAUGAUGUACAUAUUUCUCUGGGAUUUCAUAGGAUAUUUCAGGAAUUUAACAUCUGGAUAACAUACAAAAAAAUAUUGAGGGACAUAUAAACUUGAUUCCAGUUGAAAGGGUCCAAACAAUAUAUAUGAGGUGAAGGUAAGAUGGAAUAAACUCAACACUGAGCAUUGAGCGUAAUCUGUUCCUCAUUGCAAUAUAGGAUACAGUAAACGGUCCCAGGCAACACAUCUGGGUGUCUUCAGAUUUAUUGUAGAAGAAUAAGCGGCUUCAAACAAUACAUGUUUGUCCACACGACUUUCAGGCAUUGGAUUGACCGAUUACUGCAGCCAAUGCUCCCAUUUGUUGUGCGUAAAAGCGAUUUGGCACCAACGGAGAGUCAGUCAGCGGGGAGCAUCGCAGGCGAACGACGUCCUCUUGCGUUCACUUGUUCCACUACCAAUUCAAUCAGGAAGACACAGUGGUCUGUUAUGCUGCAUCACGCCCCCUUCGAGUGUCAGAACUGCUCUAUUACUGCUAUUACACUUCUUUUUUCUUCUUCUAUUUUUCUUCGCACAAAUGAACUUCCCGCUGAUUCCCACAUGUACCUUUCUUGCAAAUGGCCACACGGUACGUUUCCAUCUGACACACUUGUGUAAAAUCCUCCCCGCAGCUCAGGUCACCUGGAUGCGGGCAGAAACACCUGCUGGCGGAGGACGCACUACUUCACGGCACUUUUUUUAUUUUUAUGUGAAGGACCCAAGCUCGUUCCACCCACACUUGCUCUGAGAGCCGAGUCAGUGUGGGCAGCCAUCUCGCUCUCUGAUCUUCUUAUUUCAGCGAGUUCACCUUCUUUUCUCAUCGGAUAUGAUCUGGAGACUCGUGGUCCUCCUGCACGUCCUUCUUCUGGGAGCUGAAAGCAGCAACCGCGGGGGGAGGACGGUGACUUUCCACCGGACUCAGCAGGAUGACAGCCAGGACCGAGCGCGCGCACGCACCAGGAGGGAGACGAGGCCGUUUCACGGACCCCCCUUCACCUCCUGCCGGACCCCCCUCACCCCUGUCGAGCACAAGGUUCUGGAUGACAAUACGCAUGAGACCGGUUUUAACGGCGAUGACGGCUCCUAUGUCAUCCUCACAUGGGUGGGCGACGGCACCGGGGUCGUCCUGGUGCUGUCAACAUUUAGCGCUCCGAUAGAUUCGUUCAUCGAAGGCGGCUCCUCGCGACUUUAUCGAAGCACGGAUUAUGCGAAAUCCUUCCACGACAUUUCCCAUCAGAUCAACAACACCUUCAUAAGGGAGGAGUUUGGAGUCAGCGUUGGACCAGGGAGCUCUGUGAUUCUGACAGCAGACAUUCCGGUGGUGUAUAACCGAGGCGGGAUCAUCUUCAUCUCCACGGACGCCGGCGCGACCUUCAAGUUCAUCCAACUGCCCUUCCACCUGGCUCAGCCGAUCACGUACCACUUCCUGAACCCGGACUACCUGGUGGCACUCAGCAUUGAUGGCGGUCUGUGGCUCUCUCUGGACUUUGGCGCCAAGUGGACAAAAGUUCAUGAUGGAGUGCAUUCUUUCUCAUGGGGGGCCGGCAUUAACUUGUUCUUCAGCCGCAGUCGAACCGAUGCAGUUGAGGCCGAAGAGAGAGGGGAUCUCCUGCUGAAGAGGACAACAGAUCUGGGGAAGACCUUCACCACGAUCCACGAGGACAUCUUCAGUUUUGGCUACAUAGGAGCCUUUCUCUUCUUCUCCGUGAUGGAGGAUCCGAGAUCCCCUCGUGUCAUGUAUUUCUCGUCAGACCAAGGAGAAACCUUCAGUCGAGCGCUGCUCCCCUCUGCCUCCACUGAGCAGUUCUACUCCAUCCUGGAUGGAGAUGUAGAUAUGCUCUUCAUGCAUGUGGACAACCCAGGAGACACUUUCUUUGGAACCAUGUACACAUCAGAUGACCGAGGCAUCUUGUUCUCCAAAUCCCUGGAGCGCCACCUGUUUGACGGGCAGAGGAAGAGCGAUUUCACCAACAUCACGUCCCUGAGAGGAGUCUACCUCACGAACAAACUAGACGAGGAUGGGCGUAUCAGAUCUGUCAUUUCCUUUAAUAGAGGAGGGACAUGGAGACACCUGAACAAACCUGAGAAUGUGGAAUGUGGGGAGCAAGUCAAAAAUUGCAACAUUCAUAUUCACGGAGAGCACAGUCGCAACAUCCGCAUCGUUCCCAUGCUGGCUCUGUCUGAGCCGACGGCUAUUGGUCUGGUUAUCGCUCACGGCACUGUGGGCGACUCUCUGUCAUCGUCGCAGCACCCCGAUGUGUUUGUCUCCUCAGACGGGGGUUACAACUGGAGGGGGACACUGAGAGGUCCUCACCACUACAGCAUAUUGGACUCUGGGGGUCUCAUUGUGGCUGUGGAGGCCCAGCGUGAAGGACAAGUCAAGACUAUCAAGUUCUCCACAGACGAGGGCCAAUGCUGGAAGUCCUACAACUUCACGGAACAGCCCUUCUUCUUCGCAGGCCUGGCGUCCGAGCCGGGGACCAAGGCCAUGAACGUCAGCGUGUGGGGCUUCCGUCCCGAGGAGGACGGCCAGCCCAUGUGGGUGGCCGUCACCAUUGACUUCCAGAGUCUCAUUACGAGAGAGUGUCACGAGGAGGACUACGAGGAGUGGUUGGCUCAUGCGACUGGCGGAGGAGACCUGAAGAGAAACGGAUGUCUCCUGGGGGUCAAGGAGACCUACCGGAGGCUAAAGAAACCGUCUGUGUGCAGAAAUGGCCGAGGCUUCGUGGUGAGCAAGAAGCAAAGCCCCUGCCUGUGCACCAGAGCAGAUUACUUAUGCGACUACGGUUACGAUCGUCACGCGAACACCUCAGAGUGUGUGAGGCAACGCAGCGCUGCAAAUAAAACCUUGGAGCUGUGUCUGAACGGAGAGGAGGAUGAGCUGCUGACAGCAGGGUACCGCAAGGUCCCGAGUGAUCGGUGUGAGGGGGGGUUCAGUCCUCAGCUCGCAGUGCAGACAGUCAUCAGACCCUGUGGUGUUAAACCCAGCCCCGGGCCACCUGCCAGGUCCUCGUCUCCAGUCACACACUUUGACACACCGCUGUUGCGUAUGUUUUUCCCAGCGAGAGAGGCUGGUGUUGAUCCUGGUGUGUGCAGGAGCAGGGGUCAUCGUCCUGGUUGUGAUCGUUUCCGCCGUCUUCGCUGUCAGAAGGGUGGUUUACAGGAACAGGUCGCCAGUGUAUCGUUUCUCCAACCUCCGGAUUCAGGAUGAAGACAACGGCACCACGGCCGAUCUUGAAAGCGCCACCAGCAGCAAUGGCACGGCCUGCCUGCAGGAAUCAGAUGAUGACCUUAUCGAAUGACACAUGAUGCAAUCCUAUGGAUAUAUUGAAUAUUCAAGAUUGGGACCAGCUGUGCUGAAAAAGACUGUCAAAGGCUUUUGUUGGACUUAUCCCUGACGUUUUGAUGGGAGCACCCUUUGUGGCAAGUUCUGAAGAUUUGAAGGACGAGCAUACGAAUGUCUAAUUUAUUGAGCUAGCUUAAUUUCACUGUGUUACUUUCCUUCCUCUCUGAUUAAUUUGUACAAUAUUUUUUUCAUUUAAAUUGCACUCUGUGUUGCACCACGUUUUUAAUUUCUGCUCAAUGUGAAAACAAUCAAGACAAUUCUAAAAAAUGUGCAUUCGGGGGGGGAGAAAAGAAAAAGAAAAUAAUUAAAAUACAUCAAAAGAUACAUCAUAUUAUUACGUGUCUGUUGCCGUUUUAAACACGCCAUGAUCAGAUUGAACAUAUGCAUUGAACGCACAAUAACGCUGGGGGCGCUGUCACGUCUCACAUUUGUUUCGAACUGAGCAGAGAAGAAGAAAAAGGGAGGAAGUUGGUGUGACGGACACAAAGAUCAUGUAAUGCAUAAUGAUGUCUCACUCGUGGGAAACCUGAGAGUAAAAUAAACAUACAUCGAGAUGGCUCAUA